GAUGAACGCUGGCGGCGUGCCUAAUACAUGCAAGUCGAGCGAACAGACGAGGAGCUUGCUCCUUUGACGUUAGCGGCGGACGGGUGAGUAACACGUAGGUAACCUACCUAUAAGACUGGGAUAACUUCGGGAAACCGGAGCUAAUACCGGAUAAUAUUUCGAACCGCAUGGUUCGAUAGUGAAAGAUGGCUUUGCUAUCACUUAUAGAUGGACCUGCGCCGUAUUAGCUAGUUGGUAAGGUAACGGCUUACCAAGGCAACGAUACGUAGCCGACCUGAGAGGGUGAUAGGCCACACUGGAACUGAGACACGGUCCAGACUCCUACGGGAGGCAGCAGUAGGGAAUCUUCCGCAAUGGGCGAAAGCCUGACGGAGCAACGACGCGUGAGUGAUGAAGGUCUUCGGAUCGUAAAACUCUGUUAUUAGGGAAGAACAAACGUGUAAGUAACUGUGCACGUCUUGACGGUACCUAAUCAGAAAGCCACGGCUAACUACGUG
RNAcentral lists this ribosomal RNA (497 nucleotides) under uncultured bacterium. RNAcentral's name for it is "partial 16S ribosomal RNA". It matches the Rfam family "Bacterial small subunit ribosomal RNA", at positions 28 to 507 of the family's 1533-position model. The record is from RNAcentral.